Molecule: ribosomal RNA, 483 nt
Filed under: uncultured bacterium
Lineage: Bacteria
Description: partial 16S ribosomal RNA
Rfam family: Bacterial small subunit ribosomal RNA
Source: RNAcentral
GACGAACGCUGGCGGCGUGCUUAACACAUGCAAGUCGAACGGCGAAGGUGGAGCUUGCUCCGCCGGAUCAGUGGCGAACGGGUGAGUAACACGUGGGCAACCUGCCCCUGACUUCGGGAUAACUCCUCGAAAGAGGUGCUAAUACCGGAUACGAAUCCUGCAGGCAUCUGCGGGAUUGGAAAGUUUUUCGGUCAGGGAUGGGCCCGCGGCCUAUCAGCUUGUUGGUGAGGUAGUGGCUCACCAAGGCGACGACGGGUAGCCGGCCUGAGAGGGCGACCGGCCACACUGGGACUGAGACACGGCCCAGACUCCUACGGGAGGCAGCAGUGGGGAAUAUUGCGCAAUGGGCGAAAGCCUGACGCAGCAACGCCGCGUGAGGGAUGACGGCCUUCGGGUUGUAAACCUCUUUCAGCAGGGAAGAAGCGAAAGUGACGGUACCUGCAGAAGAAGCACCGGCUAACUACGUGCCAGCAGCCGCGGUAA